AGCAAUUUAAUACUCACCUCGUCAUGGAUGUGGCUUAAAGACGGUGUGGACUGGCUUUAUAUAUGAAACAAAUUGUAAAUAAUCUACAAGUAACUUAAAGUCCUGAGCAAAAGCAGCUACUAAAGCACCACCUGGCUAUGCAACUCAAGAACUAUGUGUUUCCUGGUUAAAGCUUUGCCUAAACCUACUGAGUUUCAAGACCAUGAUUAUUUAUUUUGAUCUUCUUUGGAAAAGGCCACUAAAUAUCAUCAAAUACCUUGGGAAGACAAAAUUUGUGAAGUAAAAUAAAACCUGGAUAAAAUGGACUAAUGGAGUCAACCUGAAAAUGACAAGUAUUCUGCUGUUUAUUAUUAGACCAUGAGGUACCUAUUUCCCCACGGAGAACAUAUUUGAGACAUAUAUGAAAAUCGGAGGAGAUAAUGCACUCGCAGAGAACUUCUAAUCCUGUUCUACAAAAGUCCAAAGAAGGAGCAAAUAAUGCCAACUUCACUUUUCUUGUUUUCACAUCAAUAAAGACAUUGAUUUUAGUGUCACACUAGCACUGUAUUCUCUCCCAUAUUUUAAAUGUUAAUCAACCUGGGAUUAAUUGGUAGCUCCAAGUGAUAUCGAUCCAAG
This 615-nucleotide long non-coding RNA is filed under the name Homo sapiens (human). RNAcentral's name for it is "HSALNT0249489". The record is from RNAcentral. Lineage: Eukaryota; Metazoa; Chordata; Mammalia; Primates; Hominidae.